AGGAACGUAGCUCAGCGGGAGAGCACUGCCUUGACGCGGCAGGGGUCGUGGGUUCAAAUCCCACCGUUCCUACCA
Molecule: transfer RNA, 75 nt
Filed under: Pseudomonadota bacterium
Lineage: Bacteria; Pseudomonadati; Pseudomonadota
Also listed under: 1 other name
Description: tRNA-Val
Rfam family: tRNA
About the family: Transfer RNA (tRNA) molecules are approximately 80 nucleotides in length. Their secondary structure includes four short double-helical elements and three loops (D, anti-codon, and T loops).
Source: RNAcentral